RNAcentral lists this ribosomal RNA (456 nucleotides) under Terrahaemophilus aromaticivorans. RNAcentral describes it as "bacterial SSU rRNA". It matches the Rfam family "Bacterial small subunit ribosomal RNA", at positions 30 to 473 of the family's 1533-position model. The record is from RNAcentral. Lineage: Bacteria; Pseudomonadati; Pseudomonadota; Gammaproteobacteria; Pasteurellales; Pasteurellaceae.
AUUGAACGCUGGCGGCAGGCUUAACACAUGCAAGUCGAACGGUAACAUAAAGAAGCUUGCUUCUUUGAUGACGAGUGGCGGACGGGUGAGUAAUGCUUGGGAAUCUAGCUUAUGGAGGGGGAUAACUACGGGAAACUGUAGCUAAUACCGCGUAGAAUCGAGAGAUGAAAGUGUGGGACCUUCGGGCCACAUGCCAUAGGAUGAGCCCAAGUGGGAUUAGGUAGUUGGUGAGGUAAAGGCUCACCAAGCCGACGAUCUCUAGCUGGUCUGAGAGGAUGACCAGCCACACUGGGACUGAGACACGGCCCAGACUCCUACGGGAGGCAGCAGUGGGGAAUAUUGCGCAAUGGGGGCAACCCUGACGCAGCCAUGCCGCGUGAAUGAAGAAGGCCUUCGGGUUGUAAAGUUCUUUCAGUAGCGAGGAAGGCAUUUAGUUUAAUAGACUAGGUGAUUGAC